This 427-nucleotide ribosomal RNA is filed under the name uncultured bacterium. RNAcentral describes it as "partial 16S ribosomal RNA". It matches the Rfam family "Bacterial small subunit ribosomal RNA", at positions 355 to 774 of the family's 1533-position model. The record is from RNAcentral.
UGGGAAAUAUUGCACAAUGGGCGCAAGCCUGAUGCAGCCAUGCCGCGUGUAUGAAGAAGGCCUUCGGGUUGUAAAGUACUUUCAGCGAGGAGGAAGGCAUUAAGGUUAAUAACCUUGGUGAUUGACGUUACUCGCAGAAGAAGCACCGGCUAACUCCGUGCCAGCAGCCGCGGUAAUACGGAGGGUGCAAGCGUUAAUCGGAAUUACUGGGCGUAAAGCGCACGCAGGCGGUCUGUCAAGUCGGAUGUGAAAUCCCCGGGCUCAACCUGGGAACUGCAUUCGAAACUGGCAGGCUAGAGUCUUGUAGAGGGGGGUAGAAUUCCAGGUGUAGCGGUGAAAUGCGUAGAGAUCUGGAGGAAUACCGGUGGCGAAGGCGGCCCCCUGGACAAAGACUGACGCUCAGGUGCGAAAGCGUGGGGAGCAAACA